GACGAACGCUGGCGGCGUGCUUAACACAUGCAAGUCGAACGGAAAGGCCCUGCUUUUGUGGGGUGCUCGAGUGGCGAACGGGUGAGUAACACGUGAGUAACCUGCCCUUGACUUUGGGAUAACUUCAGGAAACUGGGGCUAAUACCGGAUAGGAGCUCCUGCUGCAUGGUGGGGGUUGGAAAGUUUCGGCGGUUGGGGAUGGACUCGCGGCUUAUCAGCUUGUUGGUGGGGUAGUGGCUUACCAAGGCUUUGACGGGUAGCCGGCCUGAGAGGGUGACCGGCCACAUUGGGACUGAGAUACGGCCCAGACUCCUAUGGGAGGCAGCAGUGGGGAAUAUUGCACAAUGGGCGGAAGCCUGAUGCAGCAACGCCGCGUGCGGGAUGACGGCCUUCGGGUUGUAAACCGCUUUCGCCUGUGACGAAGCGUGAGUGACGGUAAUGGGUAAAGAAGCACCGGCUAACUACGUGCCAGCAGCCGCGGUGAUACGUAGGGUGCGAGCGUUGUCCGGAUUUAUUGGGCGUAAAGGGCUCAUAGGUGGUUGAUCGCGUCGGAAGUGUAAUCUUGGGGCUUAACCCUGAGCGUGCUUUCGAUACGGGCUGACUUGAGGAAGGUAGGGGAGAAUGGAAUUCCUGGUGGAGCGGUGGAAUGCGCAGAUAUCAGGAGGAACACCAGUGGCGAAGGCGGUUCUCUGGGCCUUUCCUGACGCUGAGGAGCGAAAGCGUGGGGAGCGAACAGGCUUAGAUACCCUGGUAGUCCACGCUGUAAACGGUGGGUACUAGGUGUGGGGUCCAUUCCACGGGUUCCGUGCCGUAGCUAACGCUUUAAGUACCCCGCCUGGGGAGUACGGCCGCAAGGCUAAAACUCAAAGGAAUUGACGGGGCCCCGCACAAGCGGCGGAGCAUGCGGAUUAAUUCGAUGCAACGCGUAGAACCUUACCUGGGUUUGACAUGGAUCGGGAGUGCUCAGAGAUGGGUGUGCCUCUUUUGGGGUCGGUUCACAGGUGGUGCAUGGCUGUCGUCAGCUCGUGUCGUGAGAUGUUGGGUUAAGUCCCGCAACGAGCGCAACCCUUGUUCACUGUUGCCAGCACGUUAUGGUGGGGACUCAGUGGAGACCGCCGGGGUCAACUCGGAGGAAGGUGGGGAUGACGUCAAGUCAUCAUGCCCCUUAUGUCCAGGGCUUCACGCAUGCUACAAUGGCUGGUACAGAGAGUGGCGAGCCUGUGAGGGUGAGCGAAUCUCGGAAAGCCGGUCUCAGUUCGGAUUGGGGUCUGCAACUCGACCUCAUGAAGUCGGAGUCGCUAGUAAUCGCAGAUCAGCAACGCUGCGGUGAAUACGUUCCCGGGGCU
Molecule: ribosomal RNA, 1346 nt
Filed under: uncultured bacterium
Lineage: Bacteria
Description: partial 16S ribosomal RNA
Rfam family: Bacterial small subunit ribosomal RNA
Source: RNAcentral